This 506-nucleotide ribosomal RNA is filed under the name uncultured bacterium. RNAcentral describes it as "partial 16S ribosomal RNA". It matches the Rfam family "Bacterial small subunit ribosomal RNA", at positions 30 to 523 of the family's 1533-position model. The record is from RNAcentral.
AUUGAACGCUGGCGGCAGGCCUAACACAUGCAAGUCGAGCGGCAGCGGAAAGUAGCUUGCUACUUUGCCGGCGAGCGGCGGACGGGUGAGUAAUGUCUGGGAAACUGCCUGAUGGAGAGGGAUAACUACUGGAAACGGUAGCUAAUACCGCAUAACGUCGCAAGACCAAAGAGGGGGACCUUCGGGCCUCUUGCCAUCAGAUGUGCCCAGAUGGGAUUAACUAGUAGGUGGGGUAACGGCUCACCUAGGCGACGAUCCCUAGCUGGUCUGAGAGGAUGACCAGCCACACUGGAACUGAGACACGGUCCAGACUCCUACGGGAGGCAGCAGUGGGGAAUAUUGCACAAUGGGCGCAAGCCUGAUGCAGCCAUGCCGCGUGUAUGAAGAAGGCCUUCGGGUUGUAAAGUACUUUCAGCGGGGAGGAAGGCGUUGAGGUUAAUAACCUCAGCGAUUGACGUUACCCGCAGAAGAAGCACCGGCUAACUCCGUGCCAGCCGCCGCCGUAA